RNAcentral lists this ribosomal RNA (430 nucleotides) under Chloroflexota bacterium. RNAcentral describes it as "Chloroflexi bacterium partial 16S ribosomal RNA". It matches the Rfam family "Bacterial small subunit ribosomal RNA", at positions 355 to 777 of the family's 1533-position model. Lineage: Bacteria; Bacillati; Chloroflexota. The record is from RNAcentral.
UGGGGAAUAUUGCACAAUGGGCGCAAGCCUGAUGCAGCCAUGCCGCGUGUAUGAAGAAGGCCUUCGGGUUGUAAAGUACUUUCAGUCGGGAGGAAGGUGGUAAGGUUAAUAACCUUAUCAAUUGACGUUACCGACAGAAGAAGCACCGGCUAACUCCGUGCCAGCAGCCGCGGUAAUACGGAGGGUGCAAGCGUUAAUCGGAAUUACUGGGCGUAAAGCGCACGCAGGCGGUUGAUUGAGUCAGAUGUGAAAUCCCCGGGCUUAACCCGGGAAUUGCAUCUGAAAAUGGUCAACUAGAGUCUUGUAGAGGGGGGUUAGAUUCCAUGUGUAGCGGUGAAAUGCGUAGAGGUGUGGAGGAAUACCGGUGGCGAAGGCGGCCCCCUGGACAAAGACUGACGCUCAGGUGCGAAAGCGUGGGGAGCAAACAGGA